CCAUUAUGGUUUAAGUUCUUAUACUCAAUCAUACACAUGACAUCUAGUCAUAUUCUACUCCAAAACACUAACCAAGCUUCUUCUAGCUUCUCAAAGCUUUCAUGGUGUAGCCAAAGUCCGUAUGACUCUUUGGCUUUGUAUCUUCUAACAAGGAAACACUACUUAGGCUUUUAAGAUCGAGUUGCGGUGUAAGUUCUUAUAAUCAAUCAUACACAUGACCUCAAGUCAUAUUCGACUCCAAAACACUAACCAAGCCUCUUCUAGCU
RNAcentral lists this small RNA (266 nucleotides) under Arabidopsis thaliana (thale cress). RNAcentral's name for it is "ATSL088710". Lineage: Eukaryota; Viridiplantae; Streptophyta; Magnoliopsida; Brassicales; Brassicaceae. The record is from RNAcentral.